Cyprinus carpio carpio is the source of this 2594-nucleotide long non-coding RNA. The record is from Ensembl. Lineage: Eukaryota; Metazoa; Chordata; Actinopteri; Cypriniformes; Cyprinidae.
GCUCUUCUCUUGGUGAGAUGUAGAUGCGUUUCCCCUUGCUGUUUAUUGAUAUUCUGUUUCCCUAAAUACGGACCUAUUUGUCUCCGCUGUCUCCCCUCCGCCCCAGCCGUACACCGGACCUAAGAGGAUGGGCGGAUCAGGGAGGAGGCGGAGAGGGGCAGAAAAGGAAAACUAUCCGUGAUUGAUAGGCAAUUUCAAUGCCUGUGGCGUCUGGAGAAUCACCAAGGUGACGAAGCAGAUGAAGAGCACAGAGCUUGUGGUGGCCCUGUCUCCAGUGCACAUCUGAACUGCUAAUUCUGUUCUUCACCGUUAUAGUAUUUCGGGGACAUCUUGCAUUCUGUAACCCAAAAGAAAAACCCCAGGUUUUCUCCAGCCAAUGGUCGACUGGAACAGUAUCUACAGUCACUUCCCAAACUGCCGCUUAACAGAAAGCACAGAAUGAGAAUGAGGCAGCAGAGGAGAAGCUUAAUGUGUCCCCGCGGGUCACAGGUGACUGAUUCUGCCAAGCAGGACACGCUCUUGGAUUCACCUCAGUGUCACCGUGUCAGUAUUCUCAAAAUACAAGCGCCGGUCCUUUCCUGAUGGAUCUGCAGUGAGGAAACCGUGUCAGAAAGCUGCCAGGCAGCCAAACAGGUGCUCGGCACAACCCUCAGUCCUCACAGACUUCCCCGCUGUUGUGUAUUUAUAUACAGUUGACUCGAGAACCACAUCCGCCCACCUUCCCCCUGUCUGUCUCUCAGAUCCAAGAUCUUAUCAGCUGCUUGAAACUGAAGUGUUAGACUGCUGCCUGCACAGACUUUAAGUCCAGAUAAGAGAUGUAGACAUUUCAGAUUAGUGCUGACAGAGUUCAACAAAAAUCAAGUGCUUCUACCCAACAGGACACUAGGGCAAGUCUGUGGAGAUGUGUUCCUGACAAAUAAACAGCUUGUAAAUUGAGAUGUUAAUGAAUGGAGUCAUGUGGAUUGCUGUGAUGUUUUUAUCUGCUGUUUGGACUCUCAUUCUGACGGCACCCAUUCACUGCAGAGGAGCCAUUGGUGGUGAGCAAGUGAUGAAAUGAUAAGUUUCCCCAAAUCUCUUCCGAUGAAAAAACAAACAAUUUUUAGAUGGCCAUUUUUAUUUUUUUGGAGUGCUGAUUGAGUAAGUCAUGUUUUAUUUGAACAGAAGCCACAACAAACAGAACAGUUCGUCUCCAUCAAAGCAACAAACAAACCACUUCAGGUUUUUUAGUUGAGUUUAUUUUGCACAAGCAUAAAAUAAAUACAAUAAAAACAAAAUACAGCUUAAUAUUUUAACUGUGUUUGCCAAGCAGUGUUAUACAAUUAUAAUGCAUAUAAUGCACGUAGUUAUAUUGCUAUAGUUUUCUGCUUUUCAGAACUUUUACAGUUAUGAUAUGAUAGUUAAGAUCAUAUAAAAUGUGAAUGUAAAAACUGAAUGUGUGAAGUAUUAAUGUUCGUAGUCCUCCUCCCUCGUCUGGGAAGUUGCGGCUCUCAUCAGUAAGUCAAGGAGGACAGCGGGGCCAGAGGCCAGUCUGAGGGACGCUGUUAAUAUAUUUUACUCUAAGCCUUUUCAACACCAGGAUUUAUAUUGUAUUAAAACCAGUCCUGACACACUGAGGUUGCUUCUCUCCCAGCUUCAACCUUGAGAGCAAUGGCAUUGUCCCUCUCCCACAGCUCUCUCGAGGGACAGAAAAAAAAGGACGUAUUAAGAGGAGUGAGAGGUGUAGAUGGACUGCCAUCAUGUGGCCCUGCUGCCCACUGCUUCUGCAGAGAGAGGAGAAACUGACCCACAGACGCUCACCUUCUGCAUGGCGGGUAGUGCAGCGAUGCUACCAUGUUUUACAUUUACAUUGAAUCAUUUAGCAGACUCUUUUAUCCAAAGCGACUUACUAAUGUGGACAUUAGAAGCAAUCAAAACAACAAAAGGUCAAGUCAAGUCACCUUUACUGUUUUUAUUCAUAUCAUUAUGCUUUAUUUGCUCUGUUUUAUUCUGUGAAAUCUUACUACGUAUAUACAUAUAUUUUGCAUAUACAUUUAAAGUAAACAUAUUUUGAAUUUGAUUUUAUUUGCAUAUUUUCAGUUUCCAUUUUAAUAACUGUUUUUUUAUUCAUUUCUAUUUAGGUUUUAUUUAUUUUAUUUAGAUUUUAUUAAUUUAAGUAUUUAGUAAAUUGUAGUACUCGGUUAAUUUCAGUUUAUAUGCAUGUAUGCAUACUCUAUAUAUAUUUCAUAUCUUUUAAUGUAUUUCAUUCAAAUAUAUCAUCACUGAACAGUACCUCUUCAGAGUUUGUCAGUCAAUCAGAUUUAACAGCUUGUCCUGUUGGCUACAUUGCAUGCAGCUCCUUAGGAUAAGAUGUAUUUUCUUGCUAUUAUUUCUUGAUAUACAACCUUGAUAUACAAGUCUUAUCUUAGAUUUGAACCGCAAAAUAUGACUUCUUUUGCCAUGGUGCUGUUGAUUCAGCAGCAUGAAAUAAAUUUAUCCCAGGGUAAAAUAUGAACCUUGUAUCCAUGUGAACCUAUAUGCCAAACUCUUACUGUAUGCUAACGUAUUACUGCUUCUUUGUCAAAAAAAAAAGGUACAAAUAAAAAUAUAGUUCUUUU